This 450-nucleotide ribosomal RNA is filed under the name uncultured Lactobacillus sp. RNAcentral's name for it is "bacterial SSU rRNA". It matches the Rfam family "Bacterial small subunit ribosomal RNA", at positions 354 to 796 of the family's 1533-position model. The record is from RNAcentral. Lineage: Bacteria; Bacillati; Bacillota; Bacilli; Lactobacillales; Lactobacillaceae.
GUAGGGAAUCUUCCACAAUGGACGAAAGUCUGAUGGAGCAACGCCGCGUGAAUGAAGAAGGCCUUCGGGUCGUAAAAUUCUGUUGUCAGAGAAGAACGUGCGUGAGAGUAACUGUUCACGUUUCGACGGUAUCUAACCAGAAAGCCACGGCUAACUACGUGCCAGCAGCCGCGGUAAUACGUAGGUGGCAAGCGUUAUCCGGAUUUAUUGGGCGUAAAGGGAACGCAGGCGGUCUUUUAAGUCUGAUGUGAAAGCCUUCGGCUUAACCGGAGUAGUGCAUUGGAAACUGGGAGACUUGAGUGCAGAAGAGGAGAGUGGAACUCCAUGUGUAGCGGUGAAAUGCGUAGAUAUAUGGAAGAACACCAGUGGCGAAAGCGGCUCUCUGGUCUGUAACUGACGCUGAGGUUCGAAAGCGUGGGUAGCAAACAGGAUUAGAUACCCUGGUAGUCC